ACACGUCUACAUUAGAUACCCGGGUAGUCCCAGCCGUAAACUAUGCGCGUUAGGUGUAUCGGUGACCACGAGUUACCGAGGUGCCGAAGGGAAACCGUGAAACGUGCCGCCUGGGAAGUACGGUCGCAAGGCUGAAACUUAAAGGAAUUGGCGGGGAGCACCACAACAGGUGGAGCCUGUCGGUUUAAUUGGACUCAACGCCGGGAAGCUCACCGGAUAGGACAGCAGAAUGAUUGCCGGGCUGAAGACCCUGCAUGACUAGCUG
This 265-nucleotide ribosomal RNA is filed under the name uncultured archaeon. RNAcentral's name for it is "partial 16S ribosomal RNA". It matches the Rfam family "Archaeal small subunit ribosomal RNA", at positions 717 to 982 of the family's 1478-position model. The record is from RNAcentral.